Molecule: ribosomal RNA, 490 nt
Filed under: uncultured bacterium
Lineage: Bacteria
Description: partial 16S ribosomal RNA
Rfam family: Bacterial small subunit ribosomal RNA
Source: RNAcentral
AUUGAACGCUGGCGGCAGGCCUAACACAUGCAAGUCGAACGGUAACAGGAAGAAGCUUGCUUCUUUGCUGACGAGUGGCGGACGGGUGAGUAAUGUCUGGGAAACUGCCUGAUGGAGGGGGAUAACUACUGGAAACGGUACCUAAUACCGCAUAACGUCGCAAGCCCAAAGAGGGGGACCUUCGGGCCUUUUUCCAUCGGCUUUUCCCAGAUGGGAUUAGCUAGUAGGUGGGGUAACGGCUCACCUAGGCGACGAUCCCUAGCUGGUCUGAGAGGAUGACCCGCCACACUGGAACUGAGACACGGUCCAGACUCCUACGGGAGGCAGCAGUGGGGAAUAUUGCACAAUGGGCGCAAGCCUGAUGCAGCCAUGCCGCGUGUAUGAAGAAGGCCUUCGGGUUGUAAAGUACUUUCAGCGGGGAGGAAGGGAGUAAAGUUAAUACCUUGGCUCAUUGACGUUACCCGCAGAAGAAGCACCGGCUAACUCCGUG